UAUGUCGCAACAGAAAUCUUCAAGGAAAGUCUAUAUUGUGUCCAUGGGAAAUUAAAAAAAAAACUUUAGUCAGCUGUUUCCCAUUCAACAAAAAAGAUUAAAGGCAACCUCCACGAUGAUGGAUAAGACGUCAUUCUCGGUCUGAAAUGUCCCAAUCUUGCUGUGAGACAGGAAAUCAACGUUGUUAAGUAGAAAAAUCCCAAGGCAAUAAGUAAAUGCCACAUUCCAUGAAGAUGUAAAUUAGCGAAAGCAUAUGUACAGAAGAAUGUAUCAAAAAUCCACAGCAUAU
This 289-nucleotide long non-coding RNA is filed under the name Mytilus galloprovincialis (Mediterranean mussel). Lineage: Eukaryota; Metazoa; Mollusca; Bivalvia; Mytilida; Mytilidae. The record is from RNAcentral.